UGGAACUGUGGAAGCCAUUUUUCCGCUCUCCCUCUCUCUCUCCCCGUGCGCGCGCGUAGAAGGCGGUUUUUUCCUUAUUUUGGUUGAAGAACGUAAAGGACUUGGCUGUUUAUUUGGUAGAUGUAAAGGGCUUGGUUGCCGAGCUUUAUAUGGCCAUUAGGAAGGAGUGUCAGCGUCACCUCUUUUGGAGGGUUACCAGCGAGCGACAAUUUAAA
This 215-nucleotide long non-coding RNA is filed under the name Phoenix dactylifera (date palm). RNAcentral's name for it is "long non-coding RNA (PDAC_LNC015344)". Lineage: Eukaryota; Viridiplantae; Streptophyta; Magnoliopsida; Arecales; Arecaceae. The record is from RNAcentral.